UCUUCGUGGAGUGUAAACUCAUCAAAACAGCCCGAAGAAUUUCAAAAAGUGAGGCACUGAAUGUAGUGUGCCAAACUGAGUACUUAACUGGAUGUCCAAUUUUAGCCUGCAAAGUGAUCCCAGCCAACACCAGAAUUCGUGGAAGGUUCUCAGAGUGGAUCGGCACCCAACUCCAUACAGCAAGAGCCCGUCAUCACGGGCUGUCUUUGCACAAGUUCUCUACAGUCAUCUGCAAAUGAGUAUGAAAACUUUCCAGGGAUUUUAAUUUAGUAGCUAAGUUUCUUACUCAGAGCCAAAAAGCACC
RNAcentral lists this long non-coding RNA (304 nucleotides) under Dromaius novaehollandiae (emu). RNAcentral's name for it is "lncRNA (ENSDNVG00000015551.1)". The record is from RNAcentral. Lineage: Eukaryota; Metazoa; Chordata; Aves; Casuariiformes; Dromaiidae.